UCGUUGAUACCAAAAACACGGACAUCUGUACUGUAUUGUUAUACUGUUAACACAACAGCUCAUCAUAUUGGCCUGUCUGUCUGUUGGGAGACAGUCGACUUGGAUCGUUAAGUUCUCCACAAUUUUUAAAUGCUUAACGUUAAAUGUUGCUCGACCCAGACGUAAACAAAUACUCUCGUGAUACUAAAUGACGUAAACAUGGACUGCCACAUUCAUGAAUAGCCUUUAUUGCAGGACAGUAGUGCUUCUCCAGUCUUCUUUGGCGCCAAUGAUACUCAACCCAGGCGCAGCGUGAUGACGGAGAGCAGAGAUGGAGGAAGAGAGAGACGAACGCGCGGAUCAGAUUCGGCUGGAGUGUUGAUACCUAUUUUUUACAGUCUAUACUAUACACAUUGUAAAAUACGAUAAUAAUUAAUUGCAACAAAUGUUGUAUAACAAACUAAAUCAUACUUAGAGGUAUCGUAUUUGAUUGUUUAUAAAACAAUAUUAUGCCUAAUGCUGUUAUUAGAAAU
This is a non-coding RNA of Pimephales promelas (fathead minnow), 512 nucleotides long. Lineage: Eukaryota; Metazoa; Chordata; Actinopteri; Cypriniformes; Leuciscidae. The record is from RefSeq and is a predicted model, not a curated record.